GUGGGGAAUAUUGGACAAUGGGCGCAAGCCUGAUCCAGCCAUACCGCGUGGGUGAAGAAGGCCUUCGGGUUGUAAAGCCCUUUUGUUGGGAAAGAAAUCCUGUCGGUUAAUACCUGGCGGGGAUGACGGUACCCAAAGAAUAAGCACCGGCUAACUUCGUGCCAGCAGCCGCGGUAAUACGAAGGGUGCAAGCGUUACUCGGAAUUACUGGGCGUAAAGCGUGCGUAGGUGGUGGUUUAAGUCCGUUGUGAAAGCCCUGGGCUCAACCUGGGAAUUGCAGUGGAUCCUGGAUCACUAGAGUGUGGUAGAGGGAUGCGGAAUUUCUGGUGUAGCAGUGAAAUGCGUAGAGAUCAGAAGGAACAUCCGUGGCGAAGGCGGCAUCCUGGGCCAACACUGACACUGAGGCACGAAAGCGUGGGGAGCAAACAGGAUUAGAUACCCCAGUAGUCC
Molecule: ribosomal RNA, 450 nt
Filed under: uncultured bacterium
Lineage: Bacteria
Description: bacterial SSU rRNA
Rfam family: Bacterial small subunit ribosomal RNA
Source: RNAcentral